This 253-nucleotide ribosomal RNA is filed under the name uncultured bacterium. RNAcentral describes it as "partial 16S ribosomal RNA". It matches the Rfam family "Bacterial small subunit ribosomal RNA", at positions 524 to 776 of the family's 1533-position model. The record is from RNAcentral.
UACGUAGGGACCAAGCGUUGUCCGGAAUCAUUGGGCGUAAAGAGCGUGUAGGCGGCCUGUUAAGUCUUGCGUGAAAUCUCGGGGCUCAACCCCGGGUCGGCCGUGGCAACUGUCGAGCUGGAGCACUGUAGAGGCAGGUGGAAUUCCGGGUGUAGCGGUGGAAUGCGUAGAGAUCCGGAAGAACACCGGUGGCGAAGGCGGCCUGCUGGGCAGUGGCUGACGCUGAGGCGCGACAGCGUGGGGAGCAAACAGG